Non-coding RNA from Bubalus bubalis (water buffalo), 73 nucleotides. NCBI's taxonomy places the organism in Eukaryota, Metazoa, Chordata, Mammalia, Artiodactyla, Bovidae. The record is from the annotation of a RefSeq genome assembly.
UCCCUGGUGGUCGAGUGGCUAAGAGUUUGCACUCCCAAUGCAGGGGGCCUGGGUUCAAUCCCCAGUCAGGGAA